This 72-nucleotide transfer RNA is filed under the name Pseudocohnilembus persalinus. It matches the Rfam family "tRNA". Rfam says of the family: Transfer RNA (tRNA) molecules are approximately 80 nucleotides in length. The record is from Rfam by way of RNAcentral. Lineage: Eukaryota; Ciliophora; Oligohymenophorea; Philasterida; Pseudocohnilembidae.
GUCCGAGUGGCUUAAUGGUAGAGCAGUAGACUCCUAAUCUGAAGAUUGAGGGUUCGAGUCCCUCCUCGGAUG